AAUAGUUCAGGGACAAAAAAAUGCCAUUAAACCCCUUCUCAUCACCACAAGCCACAUUGACCGCAUUGAGGCUGGAUCAAGCAAUCAAUUCUAUCAAUGAAAGUCA
Long non-coding RNA from Populus euphratica (Euphrates poplar), 106 nucleotides. RefSeq lists it as uncharacterized. The record is from RefSeq and is a predicted model, not a curated record. The transcript is spliced from 2 exons. NCBI's taxonomy places the organism in Eukaryota, Viridiplantae, Streptophyta, Magnoliopsida, Malpighiales, Salicaceae.